RNAcentral lists this ribosomal RNA (239 nucleotides) under uncultured bacterium. RNAcentral describes it as "partial 16S ribosomal RNA". It matches the Rfam family "Bacterial small subunit ribosomal RNA", at positions 15 to 263 of the family's 1533-position model. The record is from RNAcentral.
GAUCCUGGCUCAGGAUGAACGCUGACAGAAUGCUUAACACAUGCAAGUCGACUCGAGUCUUCGGACUUGGGUGGCGCACGGGUGAGUAACGCGUAAAGAACUUGCCUCUUAGACCGGGACAACAUCUGGAAACGGAUGCUAAUACCGGAUAUUAUGGUUUUUUCGCAUGGAGGAAUCAUGAAAGCUAGAUGCGCUAAGAGAGAGCUUUGCGUCCCAUUAGCUAGUUGGUGAGGUAACGG